GUGCACCAGUCGAGAAAACUUCACAAUGUGCGAAAGCACGAUGAGGGAAUCCCAAGUGCUUGCUCGUAAGAGUAAGCUGUUUCUCUGUCUAAAACGCAGAGAGAGUAAGGGCUGGGUAAGACGGGUGCCAGCCGCCGCGGUAAUACCUGCAGCUCGAGUGGUGGCCGCUAUUAUUGGGCCUAAAACGUCCGUAGCCGGUUUAUUAAAUGCCUGGGUAAAUCGGACCGCUUAACGGUUCGAAUUCCGGGUAGACUGAUAAACUUGGGACCGGGAGAAGCUAGAGGUACUCCUGGGGUAGAGGUGAAAUUCUGUAAUCCUAGGGGGACCACCAGUGGCGAAGGCGUCUAGCUAGAACGGGUCUGACGGUGAGGGACGAAGCCCUGGGGCGCAAACGGGGAUUAGAUA
This 405-nucleotide ribosomal RNA is filed under the name uncultured microorganism. RNAcentral describes it as "bacterial SSU rRNA". It matches the Rfam family "Archaeal small subunit ribosomal RNA", at positions 330 to 735 of the family's 1478-position model. The record is from RNAcentral.